RNAcentral lists this ribosomal RNA (477 nucleotides) under uncultured bacterium. RNAcentral's name for it is "partial 16S ribosomal RNA". It matches the Rfam family "Bacterial small subunit ribosomal RNA", at positions 30 to 507 of the family's 1533-position model. The record is from RNAcentral.
AUUGAACGCUGGCGGCAUGCCUUACACAUGCAAGUCGAACGGUAACAGGUUAAGCUGACGUGUGGCGAACGGGUGAGUAAUGUAUCGGAACGUGCCCAGUCGUGGGGGAUAACUGCUCGAAAGAGCAGCUAAUACCGCAUACGACCUGAGGGUUAAAGCGGGGGAUCGCAAGACCUCGCACGAUUGGAGCGGCCGAUAUCAGAUUAGGUAGUUGGUGGGGUAAAGGCUCACCAAGGCGACGAUCUGUAGCUGGUCUGAGAGGACGACCAGCCACACUGGAACUGAGACACGGCCCAGACUCCUACGGGAGGCAGCAGUGGGGAAUUUUGGACAAUGGGCGCAAGCCUGAUCCAGCCAUGCCGCGUGCGGGAAGAAGGCCUUCGGGUUGUAAACCGCUUUUGUCAGGGAAGAAAAGGUUCUGGCUAAUACCUGGGACUCAUGACGGUACCUGAAGAAUAAGCACCGGCUAACUACGUG